Parasteatoda tepidariorum (common house spider) is the source of this 676-nucleotide long non-coding RNA. RefSeq lists it as uncharacterized. NCBI's taxonomy places the organism in Eukaryota, Metazoa, Arthropoda, Arachnida, Araneae, Theridiidae. The record is from RefSeq and is a predicted model, not a curated record.
AAUGAGAUGCAGUUAAAUAUGCAUAAAAGAUGAGAUGUAAAUCAUAAAUUUUUCCAUAAAAAUUGAUAAAUCACAUUUAUUCAAAGAAUAUUCCAUAUGCAAGCCCAUUAUUAUUUGAUAGAUAUCGUUAAAAUUUUAAUAAAUGAUAUGUAUGUAUAUAAGGUCAUUUUUUUUAUUCGAAUUACAUAGAUCGUUCUGGAACAAGGUCGAAUCAUGAAUUCCAUUCAGAUUCUCGUAAUUGCUGCUUUUUUGAUUGCAAGUUUCAUUUUCGUAGUUUCACAGCCAGUGCAUGGUGAUUAUGAUAUUCCGAGCGAUGCUCAAGUAAUUGAGCUAUCAGACUCAUCUGAAUUGGGAAAACUCGUUAGGAAGUUUGCUGAUGAUGUACAGAAGAUUGCAAAUAAACAACAUUAAAAAUGAGCUUGAUCAAAUUUUCAUGUGAUAAAUUUUUAGGAAUCUAAAAUAAGCGAUAUUCAAAGAUACUUGUAGUAAACGAAAGUAAAAACAAUGCAGAAUAUAUCAGAUUAAUUAUGAAUGACAAUGUAAAUUAUGUGGAUCCUAUAACACAUACUUGGCGAUGCAUAAAUUCAGAAUGUUCAAAUCAGGUAUCAAUGUUAAAAAGACUCUCCAUUCUGUACAGAAAAAAUAAUGAUAAAAAUAUAAUAAACAAUGUUAUUUA